CCACCUUAAUCUGCACUCUGAUAUAAUUUUAACCAAGGCACAUUGCUUGCAUUUAAAAGAGCCUGGGGGAUGAAUUUCUGAGUCGCAACAUGAAUACUCUUGCGCAGGUUACACACACACACACACACAUACUUGGCAAAACCCACUAGUUAAUCUACAUACACACACACAUAUACACCUUUUUUUUCCUAUUUUGCUAACCUCCACCACUUCAAAAUUGCGCAAGGGUAAAGCACGCGUGAGAAUGUCCAUAUCUCUACCCAAGCGCCACAGAAGGACUGACGAUUAGAAACAGCUGGCCGUUGCGGGGAAUGCUAAAGUAUCGGCGAGGCGUUACCUAACCCCGCCGCCGAGUGAGAAUCAACACCAAACUGCGCAAUGCCUGCACAGCCAGCACGUGAGAAUGCCCAGGUUAACUAGAGCCUUAAGGAAUGUGCGUGUGUAUAACUGAAUAGCGGUAGUUGAUAGGUAGGAAUAGGAGGACAGGUAAACGUCAGACCGUGGGAAAAGGGUGUUAAUUAGAGAAUGCCCAGGUUAACGUAGAGCCUUCAAGAAUGCGUGUGUGUACCUGAAUAGCGGUAGUAGGUAGGUAGUAGGUGAAUAGGAGGGCAGGUAAACGUCAGACCGUGGGAAAAGUGUUAAUUAGAGAAUGCCCAGGUAACACAGGGCCUUUAGGAAUGUGUGUAUACCGGUACCUAGUGAAUUAGACGCACCUUUAUUGUAAUAGUGAAGUAGAGGAACGUUCAAUAGCGGGACAGGUAAACGUGUGAGACCGUGGGCAAUGAGUGUUAAUUAGAGAAUGCCCAGGUAACACAGGGCCUUUAGGAAUGUGUGUAUACCUGUGACUAGUGAAGUAGAUACACCUUGAAUGUAAUAGGACAGGAAAAGGAGUGAGAAACGAUAGGUAGACGGCAAUUUAAUGUGUUAACCAGAGGAUGCUCAGGUAAAACAGCUCUCAAAAAGGUGUCAAAUCAACUGUUACGAAAAAAAAGUGUCUUGAAUUGGUAGAAAAAAGGGCCAAAAAAAGUGUCCUGAAUUGUGUUAGAGAAAAGACUAAAAACGUGUCUUAAGUAGAUUGUUGGAAAUAAGCCAAAAAAAGAAAAAGUGUCCAGAUUAAUAGAGGAAAAGGCUAAAAAAAAAAGGUGAUAAAUAAAUUGUUAGAAGAUAAAAAGCUAAAAAAAAAUGUGUCUUCAGUAAACAGCUACAGAAAAAUGUCUGAAGAAACAACAAUAUCAAACCGAAAUCUAAAAAUCCUACCCAUUCUCUACGCUCGGCCGGCUUAACAACUUCCGUGCCAUCUACAAACGGGACUUCUCUACGGGUAACGCCCACGCCCGCCAUCUACCGCCACGCAUCGACUCCCUACAAGGCACCCGUAACAAGAGGCGUCACAUUAGGAGAGGGAGAGGAGUGACGCUGUAACGGGUGACGGAGGGAGAGGCGGAGCAUGUCUUCGGUGGAUGUAACGGGAUUACCAGAGAGAGAGAGAGAGAGAGAGAGAGAGAGAGAGAGAGAGAGAGAGAGAGAGAGAGAGGAGGGGGGG
Molecule: long non-coding RNA, 1543 nt
Organism: Eriocheir sinensis (Chinese mitten crab)
Lineage: Eukaryota; Metazoa; Arthropoda; Malacostraca; Decapoda; Varunidae
Exons: 2
Source: RefSeq, a predicted model, not a curated record